Molecule: ribosomal RNA, 376 nt
Filed under: uncultured eukaryote
Lineage: Eukaryota
Description: partial 18S ribosomal RNA
Rfam family: Eukaryotic small subunit ribosomal RNA
Source: RNAcentral
CAAUAGCGUAUAUUUAAGUUGCUGCAGUUAAAAAGCUCGUAGUUGGAUUUCGGGUGGGAAUGGCCGGUCCGCCGUUUCGGUGUGCACUUGCUACGCCCACCUUGCUGCCGGGGACGUGCUCUUGAGUUCACGCUCGGGACACGGAGUCGGCGAGGUUACUUUGAGUAAAUUAGAGUGUUCAAAGCAGGCCUUCGCCUUGAAUACAUUAGCAUGGAAUAAUAAGAUAGGACUUUGGUCUAUUUUGUUGGUUUGCAGACCGAAGUAAUGAUUAAUAGGGAUAGUUGGGGGUAUUUAUAUUCCGAUGUCAGAGGUGAAAUUCUUAGAUUUUCGGAAGAUAAACUUAUGCGAAAGCAUUUACCAAGGAUGUUUUCAUUAA